RNAcentral lists this long non-coding RNA (416 nucleotides) under Bos taurus (domestic cattle). RNAcentral describes it as "long non-coding RNA NONBTAT016724". The record is from RNAcentral. Lineage: Eukaryota; Metazoa; Chordata; Mammalia; Artiodactyla; Bovidae.
AAAUGACCUAUUAUCACAUGGAUUCAAAUACCCCAGAGCUGGAUCCAGUCUAUGAAGCAUGCAAACUUCAUUCCAUAAAUCACGUCUGCCUCUAACAUUUUAAAAACAAGAAGAAAUGAAAAACACAAAAGAAAACUAAGUCAGGGACCCCCAUAGUUUCAGCAGAGUCACAUUUCUGUGCAAAAUGGGGUCUUCACCCUUCAUCUCUCCAUCUUCCGAGCUAAAGCUUUUAUGCUGAACCCCUUAUUGAGCUGAGGUUUGUUGAUUAGAGAGGCAAUGUCAACUUAGAGGUUAACUGUGCUCUCUAGUGAAAGAGGAGUUUAAAAAUGUCUCAACCAGACUUGUCCUGCAAGCUCCAGUCUCUGUACUAUUUCAAAGGGAUUCUGGAGCUGUAGCAGCCACAACCUGCCCUUUGU